UAUUUUUGAAGACAUCCAAGUUCCAUUUUUUUUUUCUUUUUCCUUCUUCAAUUUACAGAGAACUUCUAAGAGAGAGUUUGGAAGAAGAAGAGAAAUUUUACUAGAAUUUUUAGGUUGAAGAAGAGGAGGAGAACUCAAGCAAAGUGUAUCAAUGGCUGAAUUUUAGUUCAUUCUGCACAUCACUGGUUUUUAAUUCGGUUUGAACUCUUCAAAAGGAAUUAAGAGGGCAGUUGGUUUUCACUCGAAAUCAGAAGGUCUCUGGUUUUUCUUGUAUUUCAGAGUGUAUCGGUGGAGUUAGAAUCUCUAUUUGGGACAAGUUAAAGAGGUCGUGUGCGCGCGAUUCUGGAAGUGGUUCUGUUUUGAGGGUUAUAUGUGUUUAUGCACGGGGAAUCAGAUUUAUAUGUCUUCAGGCCGAGAAGAAUUAAACCGAGCUUAUAGACCAAGGAUCUAGCCCAAGACUGUAGAGAUCGACUUCCCGGUGCCUGAUAGACUGCCAUAGUCUGUGGAAGCUUCAUUAUCGAUUGCCAGUACGUGUUUUGAGUUGGGCAUAGAGUCUGGUGUGUUGUGGUGUAUAUACACCUUGUAUGUUAUAGAUACUCCACAGUUUGUAUAAGUUUUAGGAGCUGUAGUUGUGUAAAUUUUGUUGGUUAUAUUUUGAUUAAGGUGUCUUUAGGUUUACUCGUGAAAUCGGUAAAUUUUGAGGUACACUUCAUGUUUGUGUUUGACUAGCUGUGUUUGACUAGCCUAAGAUCCGCUGUGUUUUGUGGCAUGUACAAUAGUUUAUAUACUAGAUUGGCAAGUUCAUCACAUGAAAGUUUUAAGCAGAGUCGACAGAUACAGGUACAGUAAAGCGUUGUUCGUCGGCUUCACGCCAUCUUUCGGUCUAAGGUAGCAGGUAGUCCGGGAGGGGGUGUGACAACUUGGUAUCAGAGCAGUUUGCUCCAUGGGAAUUAAGGUAGAGCGGUUAGCUCUAAGAAGAAACUGGAAAGUAAAUAAUUGAAAGUCAAGUUAGCUUAAAGGGAAUUAGUGGAGUAUGGUCUAGGUAAGGGUAGAAGUGAGUCCAAUUAUUAUUAAUACGUGAGUAGACAUUUAGUAUCAUGCAUUUGAGUUAAGUAUUUAUAGUAUGUCUAAUGUGUUGACAUAUUAUAGGAGUCAUGCCACCACGUACUGGUAGACGACGCCGGCAGAAUCAGGACGGGAUGCAAGGUCCUACCCAAGGUCCAUCUGUAGGGGAAUCUA
This is a long non-coding RNA of Cucumis melo (muskmelon), 1239 nucleotides long. RefSeq lists it as uncharacterized. Lineage: Eukaryota; Viridiplantae; Streptophyta; Magnoliopsida; Cucurbitales; Cucurbitaceae. The record is from RefSeq and is a predicted model, not a curated record. The transcript is spliced from 5 exons.